Molecule: small nuclear RNA, 177 nt
Organism: Echinops telfairi (small Madagascar hedgehog)
Lineage: Eukaryota; Metazoa; Chordata; Mammalia; Afrosoricida; Tenrecidae
Gene: U1
Rfam family: U1 spliceosomal RNA
About the family: U1 is a small nuclear RNA (snRNA) component of the spliceosome (involved in pre-mRNA splicing). Its 5' end forms complementary base pairs with the 5' splice junction, thus defining the 5' donor site of an intron. There are significant differences in sequence and secondary structure between metazoan and yeast U1 snRNAs, the latter being much longer (568 nucleotides as compared to 164 nucleotides in human).
Source: Ensembl
AUACUGACCUGGCAGGCGAGAUAACAUGAUCAUGGAGGUGAUUGUCCAGGGUGAGGCUGGAAUGUUCUGACCCCUGAGAUUUCCUGAAAGGUGGGGACCCUGACUGCAUAGUUUGUGGUAGCAGGGAGAAAAUAAAUAAAUAAAAGUAGAUAAUUUCUAAAGGUCUUUUCAUUUCUA